Molecule: long non-coding RNA, 309 nt
Organism: Diprion similis
Lineage: Eukaryota; Metazoa; Arthropoda; Insecta; Hymenoptera; Diprionidae
Exons: 3
Source: RefSeq, a predicted model, not a curated record
UAUAUAUCCCCCGUUAAAUACAAGGAAAAUUGCGCUGCAUGCGGGCGAAAGAUACUCGAACAAAACGACAACCACGAGCCGCGGUAACCACUGCGAUCAGAUUGCAUCGAUUCUGCAAGGCCUUCGACCUGAAUCUUAGAACACGGAGCCCAGAAUCGCGAUUCGCAACUAUAAUCGACGGUUGCGGUCGAGCAAUGGGCAAUUAAUCGGCUUCUAGAGGCGCAAACUCGAGUCAAAAUCGUCGCGGGUUCCUGCCUCAAAAUCGACCCGAAUUUCCGCCGUAAGGCCCAGACUCAGUAUAGUCCACCG